UAUUGUGAUAUGACUUUACACAACUGUCCGGCAGUACAUUGUCUGAUAGUGUACUGACAGUGUACUGCUCGGCAGGUAUGUAAAGUCAAAUCACAGUAU
Molecule: microRNA precursor, 99 nt
Filed under: Triticum aestivum (bread wheat)
Lineage: Eukaryota; Viridiplantae; Streptophyta; Magnoliopsida; Poales; Poaceae
Description: miR9671 stem-loop (tae-MIR9671)
Source: miRBase by way of RNAcentral